RNAcentral lists this ribosomal RNA (230 nucleotides) under uncultured soil bacterium. RNAcentral's name for it is "partial 16S ribosomal RNA". It matches the Rfam family "Bacterial small subunit ribosomal RNA", at positions 26 to 250 of the family's 1533-position model. The record is from RNAcentral.
AGAGUGAACGCUGGCGGUAGGCCUAACACAUGCAAGUCGAACGGCAGCACAGUGGUAGCAAUACCAUGGGUGGCGAGUGGCGGACGGGUGAAGGAAUACAUCGGAAUCUACCUUUUCGUGGGGGAUAACGUAGGGAAACUUACGCUAAUACCGCAUACGCCCUUCGGGGGAAAGCCGGGGAUCGGCAAGACCUGGCGCGGAUAGAUGAGCCGAUGUCGGAUUAGCUAGUU